UCUCCUGGAAAACGGGUGGUAAUGCCGGAUGUUCCACAUGAUCGCAUGUGAUUGUGGGAAAGAUUCUAUCGGCGUGGGAUGGGGUCGCGUCCUAUCAGCUUGUUGGUGAGGUAACGGCUCACCAAGGCUUCGACGGGUAGCCGGCCUGAGAGGGCGACCGGCCACAUUGGGACUGAGAUACGGCCCAGACUCCUACGGGAGGCAGCAGUGGGGAAUAUUGCACAAUGGGCGCAAGCCUGAUGCAGCGACGCCGCGUGAGGGAUGGAGGCCUUCGGGUUGUAAACCUCUUUUGUUUGGGAGCAAGCCUUCGGGUGAGUGUACCUUUCGAAUAAGCGCCGGCUAACUACGUGCCAGCAGCCGCGGUAAUACGUAGGGCGCAAGCGUUAUCCGGAUUUAUUGGGCGUAAAGGGCUCGUAGGCGGCUCGUCGCGUCCGGUGUGAAAGUCCAUCGCUUAACGGUGGAUCUGCGCCGGGUACGGGCGGGCUGGAGUGCGGUAGGGGAGACUGGAAUUCCCGGUGUAACGGUGGAAUGUGUAGAUAUCGGAAAAAAAACACCA
RNAcentral lists this ribosomal RNA (556 nucleotides) under Bifidobacterium bifidum. Its description in RNAcentral is "bacterial SSU rRNA". It matches the Rfam family "Bacterial small subunit ribosomal RNA", at positions 146 to 711 of the family's 1533-position model. Lineage: Bacteria; Bacillati; Actinomycetota; Actinomycetes; Bifidobacteriales; Bifidobacteriaceae. The record is from RNAcentral.